Molecule: long non-coding RNA, 365 nt
Organism: Sebastes umbrosus (honeycomb rockfish)
Lineage: Eukaryota; Metazoa; Chordata; Actinopteri; Perciformes; Sebastidae
Exons: 3
Source: RefSeq, a predicted model, not a curated record
CCCAGCAUCGUUAGCUCCGUGGCCUAGGCGACCCCGUCUCCAGGCAACCGGCAGGAGUGGCGAGGCGUUGAAAGGAUUGCAGGUGAUUGCAGCAGCGGCAGAAUCAGCAGCAGCAUCAGCAGAGGCAGGACCAGAGGUGCUUUACUGGGACGGUUCAACAACAUUGGAAGAGUUUGCUUUUCGACAUCAGGAUAAUUCACAUCAGUGAAAGUGCAAAGGAAUCAAACUGCUGUUCCUGGCACACUUUGGUGUGAAGUAACAAGAAAUUACAGCGGCUGAACACGACAAGGACAAACACAGCGGACAUGUCUACAGUAAAAUAAAAAUGUCAACAUGAUGGAAAACAGUACAAUAAAAAAGCACGA